Haliotis rubra (blacklip abalone) is the source of this 362-nucleotide long non-coding RNA. RefSeq lists it as uncharacterized. The transcript has 4 exons. Lineage: Eukaryota; Metazoa; Mollusca; Gastropoda; Lepetellida; Haliotidae. The record is from RefSeq and is a predicted model, not a curated record.
GGAGCAGGGUGCGUCCAAGGAACAGUACCCCGACAGUGCACGGGACGAUUUCGAGAGAGGAUCAGUUGACUCCUUUCUUCUAGCACUGACGCCACUGGGCACUUUGACAGAGAUUAAAGUCAACUGCAGUGAGCAAAACGCCUGGUUCCUGGACAAGAUUGUGGUAAAUAAGGCGAAUUUGCUGGAGACCUAUACUUUCCAUCAUAACAACUGGCUAAAUGGCACCGUUCGAAUCUUUCCAAGUUCUGAGUAACAGUGCAUGAUUGCCAUGAUGACGAGACCAGCAUGCAGAUCGGUCAUGCUCAGUUUGGGAAACUGAUAUUUGUCAAAUACUGUUACAAAUACAAUGCACUGGUCCAGAA